Molecule: long non-coding RNA, 697 nt
Filed under: Homo sapiens (human)
Lineage: Eukaryota; Metazoa; Chordata; Mammalia; Primates; Hominidae
Description: non-protein coding lnc-TFIP11-1:2
Source: RNAcentral
GGCUUGCCAGGAGCUGGAGGGGGAGGUAGGCGGGGCGGCGCGUGACCUAAGGCCUCUCUGCCGCGCGCGCAGGUACGGGGCAGAAGUCGCAGGUACCCAGCUGCUGCCCACAUUUCUGGUCCAGAGUCCCGAACCCCGAGCACUGGGAUGCCUGGCUACUCCGAGCGUUAUCCAGACUAGCGAGUGGGAGGCAGAUGUAAAAUCUGGAACGCAGAUUUUAGUUUGUUGGAAGGAGAAAUGUAACAUAGUGAACCACGCAUCUCUGGAGGGUGUAAAGCAGAGACAGCCAAGAGCCAAGGCACUGAUGUUUGAACUGGAAACUUCAAAACGUUUAAUAAGAGUCUUCAGGAUGGGUUUGAACUAGACAAGCUAGAAAUUUCUUUAGAACACCAGCUCUAGCAUGCAUCUCCCACUUUUGGCUUUCCUGGAGAGGAGCUUGAAGAGGUGGUUCUGCAGACAGCCACAGUGAUACUUAGGAAACCAGAGGAAUGGAUUUGACUUUUCUGCUAGGAUUCUCUGUUAUAGUUUCUCCCUGAGUUGUAAGAGGCAUGGAAAUAUACAUGAAACUGAAGAACCUGCAAGGAAGGGAAGUGGAACUUUCCAUGCUGAGUGAAAACUAACCAAGUGGCAGUUGUGACUGAAAACACUGAAACCUACCACGUCCAGAUUCACUGGAUUGGGGGAUAGAGGAACGGUC